GACGAACGCUGGCGGCGUGCUUAACACAUGCCAGUCGAACGGAAAGGCCCUGCUUUUGUGGGGUACUCGAGUGGCGAACGGGUGAGUAACACGUGAGUAAUCUGCCCUUGACUUUGGGAUAACUUCAGGAAACUGGGGCUAAUACCGGAUAGGAGCUCCUGCUGCAUGGUGGGGGUUGGAAAGUUUCGGCGGUUGGGGAUGGACUCGCGGCUUAUCAGCUUGUUGGUGGGGUAGUGGCUUACCAAGGCUUUGACGGGUAGCCGGCCUGAGAGGGUGACCGGCCACAUUGGGACUGAGAUACGGCCCAGACUCCUACGGGAGGCAGCAGUGGGGAAUAUUGCACAAUGGGCGAAAGCCUGAUGCAGCAACGCCGCGUGCGGGAUGACGGCCUUCGGGUUGUAAACCGCUUUCGCCUGUGACGAAGCGUGAGUGACGGUAAUGGGUAAAGAAGCACCGGCUAACUACGUG
RNAcentral lists this ribosomal RNA (468 nucleotides) under uncultured bacterium. RNAcentral's name for it is "partial 16S ribosomal RNA". It matches the Rfam family "Bacterial small subunit ribosomal RNA", at positions 28 to 507 of the family's 1533-position model. The record is from RNAcentral.